UCUUGCAUCCACCUUAACACCAUUAUCUCCCUCCCCUUGUCUUCUCCUGUGCUCAAUGAUCCCUGAGAGCCAAAUCACUUUGGUUUGGAAUGGGUGGAUAUUCUUGUGUGGGCACACCUCAUUUUCCUUGAUAAAUACGUCAAUGUCUUAGCGCUAUUUAAUUCCUUAUUCUGUUUUCCAGAAUCAGCACACAUAUAAAUCACUGUGGUCAAAGAGUAGACAUAACAAUGGAGUGUUUGUUACCUCUGCUAUCAGCUCUGCCACCACAGGAGGCUCUUGCUGGCUCUCCGUGAGCUGCCUUUGAACAACGUUUCACACGAGGCGCUCUCCUGCUCCCAUGCCAAGAAGCAAGGAGCCUGGGGGCCUCUGAGGGCCACCAGAAGAAGUUGCCACCGGGUGUAGUGGAAAAUGUCUUGGCUGCUAUUACUGGAGAGAAUUUAUUACCCAAUAAUAAACAGCUAUUCACAGCUAUUCCAAGGAAAGUUGCCUAUAGUGUUGUCAGAAAGUCAC
Non-coding RNA from Meleagris gallopavo (turkey), 510 nucleotides. NCBI's taxonomy places the organism in Eukaryota, Metazoa, Chordata, Aves, Galliformes, Phasianidae. The record is from RefSeq and is a predicted model, not a curated record.